This 435-nucleotide ribosomal RNA is filed under the name Macaca assamensis (Assam macaque). RNAcentral's name for it is "partial 12S ribosomal RNA". It matches the Rfam family "Bacterial small subunit ribosomal RNA", at positions 508 to 1191 of the family's 1533-position model. The record is from RNAcentral. Lineage: Eukaryota; Metazoa; Chordata; Mammalia; Primates; Cercopithecidae.
CCAGCUACCGCGGUCACACGAUUAACCCUAGCUAAUAGAGAUCGGCGUAGAGGGUGUUUAAGAUCUGACACAAUAAAGCUAAACUCCAUCUAAACUGUAAAACCCUAGCUGAUGUAAAAUAAACUACGAAAGUGGCUUUAAAACUUCUGAACACACAAUAGCCAAGACCCAAACUGGGAUUAGACACCCUACUAUGCUUGGCCCUAAACCUCAGUAGUUAAAUAACAAAACUACUCGCCAGAAUACUACAAGCAACAGCUUAAAACUCAAAGGACUUGACGGUGCUUUACACCCCCUAGAGGAGCCUGUUCCGUAAUCGAUAAACCCCGAUCCACCCCACCCUCUAUUGCUCAGCCUAUAUACCGCCAUCUUCAGCAAACCCUGAUGAAGGCCACAAAGUGAGCGCAAACGCCACCACCGCGAAGACGUUGGGUC